RNAcentral lists this ribosomal RNA (91 nucleotides) under uncultured bacterium. RNAcentral's name for it is "partial 16S ribosomal RNA". The record is from RNAcentral.
CCCGUCACACAUGGGAGUCGAUUGCUCCAGAAGUGGCUGCGCCAACCUCGCAAGAGGAGGCAGGUCCCAAGGAGUGCUCGGUAACUGGGUG